Molecule: ribosomal RNA, 453 nt
Filed under: uncultured Porphyromonadaceae bacterium
Lineage: Bacteria; Pseudomonadati; Bacteroidota; Bacteroidia; Bacteroidales; Porphyromonadaceae
Description: bacterial SSU rRNA
Rfam family: Bacterial small subunit ribosomal RNA
Source: RNAcentral
ACGGAAGGCAGCAGUGAGGAAUAUUGGUCAAUGGGCGGGAGCCUGAACCAGCCAAGUCGCGUGAGGGAUGACGGUCCUACGGAUUGUAAACCUCUUUUGCCGGGGAGUAAUGUGCGGGACGCGUCCCGUAUUGAGAGUACCCGGAGAAAAAGCAUCGGCUAACUCCGUGCCAGCAGCCGCGGUAAUACGGAGGAUGCGAGCGUUAUCCGGAUUUAUUGGGUUUAAAGGGUGCGUAGGCGGCGUGCCAAGUCAGCGGUCAAAGUUCCGGGCUCAACCCGGUGAUGCCGUUGAAACUGGUGUGCUCGAGUUCGUGCGAGGAAGGCGGAAUGCGUUGUGUAGCGGUGAAAUGCAUAGAUAUAACGCAGAACCCCGAUUGCGAAGGCAGCUUUCCAGUAUACGUCUGACGCUGAUGCACGAAAGCGUGGGUAUCAAACAGGAUUAGAUACCCUGGUA